RNAcentral lists this unclassified non-coding RNA (313 nucleotides) under Hevea brasiliensis (rubber tree). The record is from RNAcentral. Lineage: Eukaryota; Viridiplantae; Streptophyta; Magnoliopsida; Malpighiales; Euphorbiaceae.
ACCAAGUAAUCUCAAAAGGGUGCGGCUAUAGAAAGCUCGAGCUCAUAUAAGAAUGACUGUUAACCAUUAGAUUAAAUAUUUGCAUCUAGAUUCAUGCAUUUAUUAAUACAUUUUAAUUAAUUUUGCACAAAUGUACAUAGAAAUAUUUCAUCUAAUUGUUAUUAAGCUCGCCCUAACAUGAGGUAACGCUUAUAUUAGAUGCAUCCAUCUAAAAUUAAAUCUAAAAGCACAAACUAUGCACACAUGCAUGCCAAUAUUUAUACACUUAGUGAUACCUAAUGGCAUUUGAAAGAUUGCAACAGAAAAGUCCAGG